UAUUAAAAAAAUAUUAUUGUCUAUGCUGAGGUGCAAAAGUGCAACAUCGUUCAUUAUAGAAACAAAUGCCCCAUAAGUGUCCGCCCCAGUGAAUGGUAUGGAUCUUGAGCAUAUUUUAAACUGGCCGUCAACUCCCGAGGAAGAGAACUUCCUUAAUGCCAUCCUCGAGUCUCUGACUAAGUACGACGAGGAUGGAACUCGCUAUGUGGACGCCGAGGCUGUUAUAGCGGUGGUCCAUCGAAUUUGGGCUUGACAAGGACUAAUUUAAAGACAGCUGCACCAAAUGCCCUAAAUUUGGCUGCGUCUUUAAUCCUGCUUUGAAUAUGUUUGCAAUCUUCUCCUUCUUAGAGCUAUUAGAUACACGGACACUGUUUGGCUUAGCGACUAAAUUGUAAUUCUGAAUAUACUGCAAUGUGAAA
This is a long non-coding RNA of Colias croceus (clouded yellow), 419 nucleotides long. RefSeq lists it as uncharacterized. The record is from RefSeq and is a predicted model, not a curated record. Lineage: Eukaryota; Metazoa; Arthropoda; Insecta; Lepidoptera; Pieridae. The transcript is spliced from 2 exons.